This 259-nucleotide unclassified non-coding RNA is filed under the name Hevea brasiliensis (rubber tree). The record is from RNAcentral. Lineage: Eukaryota; Viridiplantae; Streptophyta; Magnoliopsida; Malpighiales; Euphorbiaceae.
CUUUUUUUCAAGAUUUUGAGGAGGUGGACUGGUUUAUUACGUGUAAAAUGCAUGAUUUAUUACAUGAUCUAGCAUUAUCAUUGACGCAAAAUGAAUUUUCAACAAUAAUCUCAACCACCACACACAUCUCCAAGAGCGUCCGCCAUCUGUUAUUUCCCGGGUUUACUUCGCUUCCCGCCCUCUCACAAUAUUUAGAGCAAGUGCGAACUGCUGUAUUUAUGAUAACUGAGGAAAACAGUCAAUCAGCCUUGGAUUUAUG